Molecule: long non-coding RNA, 7764 nt
Filed under: Homo sapiens (human)
Lineage: Eukaryota; Metazoa; Chordata; Mammalia; Primates; Hominidae
Description: non-protein coding lnc-F13A1-3:22
Source: RNAcentral
ACUUCUUCCUUUUUUCAGUAGGUCUCGGUUCCCUUGCGAGUUCUUUCUCACCCCUCCCCCAUCAGCUCGUGGAAGCUUGGAGUGUGGAGCACAGCAAACCAAGGGGCCUCCUUUGGGACCCUGUGACAGUGCAGGGCUGCACCUGAGCCCUGUGCCUCUGGACAACAGCCAAGGGCAAUUGCCCACACUUGUAUGUCAGAUGUCUCCCACCCUUUUGUGUUCCAGGAAAUGACUUACUGCAAAGAACCACUCUUCCCCACGAGACUUCGAGAAGACCCGCUGUCACGGACUGAGUUGUGUCCUCUUAAAAUUCAGAUGUUGGAGUCCAAACCCCCAGUAACUCAGAGUGUGAACGUAUUUGAAGAGGUCUUUAAAGAGGUGAUGAAGGGAGAGAGACCCCAUGAGCUCGUCAAGCUCCUUCUGUGACUGAUCAGAGAUCCCACCGUGAGUCCAGCUCCUGGUCCCAUGCUCUGGAUAUAUCGGUCCCUGGCAGCGUGGUCUUAUUUCUACAGCCUCCUUUAAUUGCUUUAUGUUCACGGGACACUGUCUUCAGGAUAAGAUUAAGUCAGCGGGUGUCAACUGCAUACGAGCUUCCCAAAGACUCAAAACUCAGUUUAAAAAAAAAAUCAACUCCUUAGCCAAAGACGUGGCAACUGCGGGUGAAGUAUCUCUGGGCAGGAAAUCAAUGCAGAAAUGCAACUGGGGAGAGGGGGCUUGGGGGCCAGUUCCAGGGAGAUUGGAACUGCUGUGUUCUCAUCAGCAGAAGUGGCCCCUGCCCACCCCCAUCCUAAUCCCUUCUCAUGUGGGAGAAGGUCUGUGAGCCCUCUCCCUACCAGGCAGGUUCUAUGGCAAUGUGGGCACAUACCCUGGGGCAGGGGCCGAGGGACUUAACUCACUUCAUGAGCGCCAAUGGAGGAGCGAAGGGAAUGCCUGAUGAAAACAACAUUCUACCAGUAUGCACUGUUUUCUAACCUACAGAGUGCCUCUGUGUUCACUGUCCCAUUUGAGAAUUCUAAGUAGAAUUCUGAACAGGCUGGAGCAGAUUGCCCACCCCAAGGGACAGAUGUUGGCUGGUACUGUUGGUAUUCAUGGAAGAUUCCUUCUGACACUCCCUCCUUCUUUGUAAUUGCCAUGAACUGGAGCACUGGGCCAAUAUAAAUCAUCCAAGGGUGAACACGCUGCACAUGGACGGCUCCUCUUUGUUUUUGAAGGGAUUCCAUCUCUAUUUUGCCAUGUGCUCCUUCACCCCACUCCCCACCCCCGUCUUUCAUUUCUUUCUCUGGAAAAGAUACUUCAACUCACAGGACUGCGAUGUUGAAACGGACACCCAAGAGCAUCACAGAUGGGCCAGGCCUGGACCUCUCGGGACAACAUUCCUCACGACUUUUAGAUAGAAGAGAUUAGAGAUUUGGGACUGGUGGCAACUGGUAACGUUUUCAGUGUUUGGUAAACAGCCAGGGUCCGGAGCUCUGGGAACAGCCUGAUUUAGCUCUUUGUUUAAGUUUUGUGUUAGAGGCUCCCAAGAAGCUGAUGCAGGGGAAAGAAAUUAACAACCAUGGCUCAUUCACAGCCAGGCAGCCAAAUGGACAGCUCUAUAAGACUCAAGCCGACAGCGGAGAGAGUGCAACCAAACAGCCUUGGCCCAGCUUUCAGAGGAGAACGUUAUUCACCCCAACUGCUCUGCAUCUGCCUGGAUGUCUGCCAAGAUCUGUGAGCAUUACAGCGUUGGUAUGCUUUGGGUGAGGCCUGUGGCUAUGGCAACAAGUUGGGAGCAACCCGGUCCCUGGGAAUGAGAACAGUGUCUAAAAUCAGGCAGGCGAGGGGCAGGGAGGAGAGGUAAAGGUUGGACUUGCCUGAAGAUGGAGCCGUUUUAUUGUUGUGGGUAAAGCUGCUACCAUUAGGGGCUGUUUACAGAGUGGGUGCAGCUCAAGCUGGGAGCAUGUUAGACUCAGCGACUACGAUCAACCUAUUGACUUGUUCCCAUGAGACAGAGUAAAUUAACUGUUGCAGUACUGGUCAUGUACCACCAACCUCCUGUGAACCAGCCCUCAGUGAAACAUUUAUGUGAAAGGCCAUGGUGUUCCCAUAAGAGGGUGCAUGUUCUCUCCCUUGACUAACUCUUCAGUAUGCCUCAUUCUCACGCGCUGGUGUGCAGGAAGGAGUCCAACAUGCCCCAUUGACAGUCAUGCCCUGUAUGUGGAAAGUCUUCAGGUAGAGCACUGGGCUCAGGUUUGAAGAUGUGAGUUCUAAUCCUAGCAAGGCCAUUACCUCCCAGUGACCUCAUGUCUCGAUUUCCUCAACCACAAAACAAAGGCAUUGGUGAGCUGACCUCUAAGGCCUCUCCAGUUCUCACCUUCUGUGUCUCUACAGACUGGAGACUAGAAGAUUAUGGGCACUUUUAUUGAGUCUUCAUUUUGUUUCCAUUUCUUUGUAGUCAUCAGCUGGAGUUGAGGACAAGUUUUAACAAUAGAUAGGUUUCUUUUUGUCUCUUUUUAAAAAAUUUUAUUUAAAAUAAAUGCCAAGUGUAGUGGCUCAUACCUGUAAUCCCAGCACUUUGGGGAGGCCAAGGUGGGAGGAUUGCUUUUGAGUUUGAGACCAGCCUGGGCAACGUGGUGAGACCCUGUUUGUACAAAAAAUUUUAAAUUAGCCAGGCAUGGUGGCGUGUGCCUAUAGUCCUAGCUACUCUGGAGGUAGAGGCAGGAGGAUCCCUUGAACCUGGGAGGUUGAGGCCACAGUGAGCUGUGAUUGUGCUAUUGAACUCUAGCCUGGGCAACAGAGCAAGACCCUGUCUCUUAAAAAAGACUAUUUUUUAAGAACACUUUUAGGUUCACAGCGAAAUUUGGAGGAAACUUGGCAUAUGUCAUAUGCCCCCUGCUCCCAUGCAUGCACAGCCUCUACCAUUAGCAAUGUCCCCACUCAAAUGGUACCUUUGUUGUAAUCAACAACCCUGUACUGACACAUCAUCAUCACCCAAACUCCAUAGUUCACAUUAGGUUUCACUCUUGGUGUGGUGUACAUUCCAUGGGCUUGAACAACUGUAUAAUGACAUUAUCCACCACUGCAGGAUCAUACAGAGUAGUCUCACUGCCCUAAAACUACUCUGUGCUCCACCUGUUUGUCCCUUCUUUCACUCUAAACUCCUGGCAACAACUGACCUUUUUACUGCCUCGAUAGCUUUGCCUUCUUCGGAAUGUCAUGUAGUUGAAAUCAUACAUCAUGAAGCCUUUUCAGAUUGGCUUCAUAUAGGUUUCCUUCCUUCCUUCCUCCCACCACCUUCCUUUCUUUCUGUAUUCCUAACUCUUGGAUGUAUUUUCCCCAGCAUCAUGACUUGAUGGGACUUUUGCUAAGAUAGGCAAUCAUAGAAAGUCAUAAAUCUCUUGUCAGCCUUAUUGGCUCACCUCCGAGAUGGUUCCAACACUCUUUAAGGCCCACUUUUCCAAUCCACAGAUUCCCCAGCAGAAGUCCAAGCUGCUGAGCCUCACAUCAUCUUUUGCACUAGUAAUCUUUACCACUACUUCACUGUAGCAUUUGAAAAUUUUCAUAUGAAGCCAUAGUUCUGUGUCUUUUUUUUUUUUUUUUUUUUUUUGGAGACGGAGUCUUAACCUGUUGCCCAGGCUGGAGUGCAGUGGCACAGUCUUAGCUCACUGCAAGCUCCGCCUCACGGGUUCAAGUGAUUCUUGCCUCAGCCUCCCAAGUAGCUGGGAUUACAGGCGCGCCACCAUGCCCAGCUAAAUUUGUUGGCAUUUUUAGUAGAGAUGGGGUUUCACCAUGUUGGCCAGGCUGGUCUCAAACUCCUUACCUCAGGUGAUCUGCCUGCCUCAGCCUCCCAAAGUGCUGGGAUUAAAGGUGUGAGCCACCGCACCUGGCCUGAAGCCAUAGUUCUUAACCUCAGUUGUGCAAUAGAAUUAUCUGGGGAAUUUAAAAAUUAGAAAAAACCCAUGCCCUGAAGAUUGUGAUCUAACUGGUCUUGCGUAGCGCCUGGGCAUUGGUAUUUUUUAAAUGUUUCCCAACUGAUACUAAUGUGGCCAUUCUGCAAGCCACAGUUGAAAGGCUUAUUCAAGCAUCCUGUUGCUGAAUGCAUGUCGUCCUUACCACAUGACUCUGGAGGUUUUCUUGUAUUCUGAUGUGGCUGCCCUGUUGAGGCCUGCCCCUUAGAGUGGAGAUUAUCCCCUGCAGUAGGCUGCCUGGAAUAUGAUCCCCAGUGAUCCCUGCUUCCUGCAGUCUUCUUUCCACCAAUGACCCCUCGCGCUGCUUCCAGAAGCCAAGAAAGUGGGCUUUGUCCUUGGGGAUUUAGGAGGCGGAGCGGCGCCCCCUUGAGGCCACAUGGUGGAGGCAGCGAUGAGACCUGGAGUCUAAAAUUCAGACUGAAUCACAGGAAGAAGCUAUUUACACAAGUCAAACAUGGUCCAAUCUUGGCAAUUUCAUAAGGUUCCAAUCCUUAAGGGAUCAAAACCUGGCCAACUGCUUCCACCGAGAGGUGUGCCUUUCAAUGCCAGGCUUGGAGUGUCCCUCUUUAUUUAAAAAGGAGAGGAUUCCACAGCAGAGCUUCUCAAACUCUUCCACCCAAAUCCCCUCACCACAGAGGGACAGGAGUCCUGGGCAUGUAGCCUAAAGCAGCCAGGAGAAAAAAACCUUGACCUUAAUUUUUUUAAUGAUUUCACAUGAAUCAGUGGAAUGUGUUUAUGAUAAAAUCAUCUCCUCCUGAAAUACAUGUGUAAAACUGCUGCCCCAGUUAAACGCACUUAGUCUAACCAAGCCCUAGGAUUGGCCUCUCCAGCAUGAGAAGCAUUUCCAGCACUCCAGCUCCCCAGCUCCCACUCUGGGAUCCCACCUCAGACCCUCCCACUUCCUUGCACUCUGGCCUCUCGCUCUUGACCCUGCUCCCGCCACGCUCUUUCCUCAGAGUCCAUCAGUCCUGUCUUGUCUUCACCUUGGUCUCUGCCAAGUGUGGGUCCAAGUCAUAUAUUUGGGCUGUGAUCACAGGAACCCCAAGCCCCAGACCUCCCAAAGCACCCUAUGGAGAGACCUUACCCUCCUGGACAGACCCUCUCCCCCCAGCUAGACCUCAUCCUCUGGGUAGACCCAUCUCCCCAACCAGAACUCACCCUCCUGAGUAAACCCCAUCCCCCUAGCUAGACUUCAUCCUCCUGGACAGAUCCCAUCCCCCCAGCUAGACCUCACCCUCUUGGGUAGAUGCAUCUCCCCAACCAGAACUCUCCUGGGUAGACCCCUUCUACCCAGCUAGACCUGAUCCUCUGGACAGACCCCAUCAUCCCAGCUAGACUUCUCCCUCCUGGACUGUCCCCAUCCCCCCUCCAGCCAGACCUCACCCCUCUGGGUAGACCCCAUCCCCCCAACUAGACCUCACCCUCCUGGAUGGACUCUACCCUCCUGGAGAUACCUUCCCCUCCUGGGUACAUCCCACGUGGCUACACACUCCUUCCCCUGUCAGCUUUCUCCCCCAGGGUUCUGGGCAGCAGAGUCUGUGAUAAAGGAUACUAAGUGAUUCCCCAAUACUUCCCGUUUCCAGCCUCCAGUGGGCUCUCCCUGGGGCUAACGGUUCUUUUUGCUAUUUCUCCAGGCUUUGCCUGAUGACAAGUAUACUCUGAGAGUGUCCUAAUGAUACAGAUUUUGGACCCUAUCCCAGUUCUACUGAAUCCAAGUCUCUGGGGGAGGAGUUGGGGCUCUGCAUCUGGACACCUUCCUGCAGGGUCCCUCCUGGGAGGCAAGCCCGGGGAGCACCGCUGAGGCUCGCCUCAGUGCCCAUCCUAGACCUUCAGCAGCUAGCAGAGGAUGUCCCCACCAUCCCUCAGCCCACACUCCCACUGUCGCCCCAGCCAGGCUUGGCACUGCCUCCUUUCUCAGAAGAUUAAGACCAUCUGCUGUUUCCCAAGUUUCCCACCCUCCACCCUAAAAAUUUCUCCGUUUCCCAGUCUUUCCUCGUCUCUCAGAAAAUAAACAUCUUCCCAGGCUGCCUCCCCAGUGGGUCUGCACUCCUUGCUGUCUUCCCAGCACCUGCCCUUCCAGCCCGCCCUCUGUGUGUCCAGUGUUUCCCUCACCAAAGGACUCGCUUUGUUUUUCAAAUUGGAGGUUUUGUCUUCUCCCUAAAAACCAAAACAUCUCCCUGAGAAGUAACUCCCUCAAGCUACUGAUACGGAAGGGGGGCGGGGAAGUGCUGGGAAGGGAAGGGUGUGGUCCCUGGCUAGGGCUCCACCCCCGGGCCUGUGCCCACAGACCUAGGUGAGGACAGGCAUUUCUGUUUUCGUGCUUAAAUGUUGGAUUUCCCAAGACUACCCUGGCCUACCACACCCUCAUUCUGUGCCUGUAAAAAAACCUGAGAGCUUAGCAGGCACGCACACAAGCCUCUGGACGUCAAGAGGAACACACCGGUGUAAGAGCAGACUGAUAGUGGCCCACGGCAGGCUGGCAGGCCAUCGACAGGCAGAACCACUCAGUGCAGCUGGAGGACAGCCUGGCCACGGAGCGGUCCGACUUCAGAGGGGAAAACCACCUCCCCACUCCGUCUCCCUUCUGGCUCCCCCAUCUGAGAGCUACUUCCACUCAAUAAAACCUUGCACUCAUUCUCCAAGCCCAUGUGUGAUCUGAUUCUUUUGGUGCACGGAGGCAAGAAACCUCAGGAUACAGAAAGCCUCUGUCCUUGGAAUAAGGCAGGAGGUCUAACAGCUGACUAGGGAUGGCUCAACUGAAACAGCAUCCUGUAACACAGGCCCAUUGGGACCUCAGGAGCUGUAAACAUUCACCCUUAGACAUUGCUGUGGGGUUGGAGCCCCACCACCUGCCCAUCUGCAUGCUCCCCCUACAGGUUUGAGCAGCGGGGCACAGAAGAAGCCAGCCACACCUCCAUCGCAAGCCCUGCCACGGGGAUAAGGGAACUUUUCCCGUUUUGCCACCAGCUCAAGCCCCGCCUUCCUGUCACUCCACACUCUUCAUCUCUGUGUAUGGGUGUGGUCUUCCUCAGUUCCUUCUCUGGCCUCACACAGUGCCCUGAAUAAUGCUUUGCAAGGCCUUUGCCAGGAGCCUAGGUGAAAGGCAGAAGAGGUGCCCCUGCAGCAUCGCAAGGUAGAGAUCGUGGUUACAAGAUGGGGACUAGACUCCCAGUUUGCCCUUGGACUGGGCAGCCCCUUGGAUUUUGUUUUCCCUGACGUUGCUGUUCUGAUCCAAGGCCUUGUGGCCUCGCUACAGACACCCAAGGCCAGGCCUAUCUUUGCAUGAAUAACUAAAGAAAGCCUAGAGGAUGAGUAAAAUGACCACACUGUAUGGCUUUGGAGGACUGGAAGUUACUGAGGACUAUGAGUGGGUUUUUUGCAUAGACUGCAGUAAAGGUCCUCAGAAAAGACCCUCAAGAGCUAUGGGGGGGUCUGGUCAAAUGCCACUUCUAGACUGGACUCCAAAACUGGUGCUGAUUAUUUUCACUCCUACCCCACCCACCAGCCUGAUAGGCGAUUCCUGAAGUAGCAGUGGGGCGCUCAGUGGUGCUCACCAGGCCCAGAGCUCAGUCCUUCCCCCAUUCUGCCUGAUGGGGCUUGUGUAACCAAGGAUGACAGAUGGGACAAUCCCUGUUGGUAAAGACUGAGUUGAUUCUGACCAGGACCAGAGAUAAAACCCAGCACCUUUAUCUUUCCCCUUUGUACCUUCUUCAGAAAGACCUUCUUCUGCAGCAGUUCUGGAACUGUGAUCUGUGAGGUAUCUCACAGAAUCUCUGACCAAUGGAGAGCUAAUCAAAGACAAGUUUAAUAGGUGAAG